AAUCAACGCUGGCGGCGUGCCUAACACAUGCAAGUCGAACGCGAAAGCCCCUUCGGGGGCAAGUAGAGUGGCGUCCGGGUGAGUAACACGUGGGUAAUCUACCUCCGGGUGGGGAAUAACUCGCCGAAAGGUGGGCUAAUACCGCAUAAUGCAGCGGCACCGAAUGGUGAUUAGUUGUUAAAGCGGGGGACCUUAGGGCCUCGCGUCUGGAGAGGAGCCUGCGGCAGAUUAGCUUGUUGGAGGGUAAUGGCCUACCAAGGCUGCGAUCUGUAGCUGGUCUGAGAGGACGGCCAGCCACACUGGCACUGACACACGGGCCAGACUCCUACGGGAGGCAGCAGUGGGGAAUUUUGGGCAAUGGGCGAAAGCCUGACCCAGCAACGCCGCGUGAAGGAGGAAAUCCUUCGGGAUGUAAACUUCACAAGCAAGGGAAGAGCGCGCAGGGUCGAAUAAACUCUGCGUCCGACGGUACCUUGCGUAAGCCACGGCUAACUACGUGCCAGCAG
Molecule: ribosomal RNA, 506 nt
Filed under: uncultured bacterium
Lineage: Bacteria
Description: bacterial SSU rRNA
Rfam family: Bacterial small subunit ribosomal RNA
Source: RNAcentral